UCCCAGGUGGCUUAGUGGUAAAGAAUUUGCCUGCCAAGCAGGAGACUGAUCCUUGGGUUUGAUCCCUGGGUA
Molecule: transfer RNA, 72 nt
Filed under: Bos taurus (domestic cattle)
Lineage: Eukaryota; Metazoa; Chordata; Mammalia; Artiodactyla; Bovidae
Also listed under: 2 other names
Rfam family: tRNA
About the family: Transfer RNA (tRNA) molecules are approximately 80 nucleotides in length. Their secondary structure includes four short double-helical elements and three loops (D, anti-codon, and T loops).
Source: Rfam by way of RNAcentral